Molecule: non-coding RNA, 1940 nt
Organism: Paramisgurnus dabryanus
Lineage: Eukaryota; Metazoa; Chordata; Actinopteri; Cypriniformes; Cobitidae
Source: RefSeq, a predicted model, not a curated record
CACUGACUUUGGACUCUGCUGAAAUCCCUGCCGCGCCACUCAUAGUGUUUAACAUUAAAUAACAUCAUAUUUGUCCUAAACCGUUAACAAUUAACAUAGGCUGCUAACGCAUAUUCUGGAUCUUGAAAUAGACUUUGACUAAGUUCACGCUAUUUAACGUGCACGUGCGGUGUGCAAUACCUGCGAGUUGUCCUACACGCGACGCCUCGCAACGCUGCGCUUCUCGCCCCGAUUGCGACCCCUUGAAGCACCCGGCUAGCCUUUCAAGAGACAAACAACUUGCGCCAGGUCAUCUGAUAAAGCAGUUGGGAUGGAAAGGUUAAAGAUCGAUUCCAUCAAAAGCACAGCCAGCAGAAAAACAGCAUUGGGUCAAAUGUGAUGUGAAAGGAGAAUUGCUGCUUUUGAAGUCACACUCCAGUUCAGAAUGACUCGGUUCACAUCAAAGGAUACCGGAUUUUAUUUUUCCCACUAAGAGAGGAUCUGUUUAGACCUGGAUUUCUCAUCAUAUCUUCUAUGCGGGAUGAAGGAGUUCAUCAGAUCUCUUGUGAGGCAGAACCGUUGUCCUGCAUCUCAGAUUUACUGCUGGGGAGAGCCUGUGAGAGGAGCUGAACAUGAGACGUGAAGGAGACUGGGGUCUAAACAUGUUUCAAUGGGAUAACAAAGACUUAAAGUCAAGUAAAACAUCAGGACUACAGUACAUUGGGAUGCAUGGCGAAGCUUCGGCACUUGCCUUUAAGCAGAAGAGAAGCUCACAUCACCAUCACCCCACUGUUUGAUGAUGUGCCAAGAGGAAUCACGUGGAUGGACGAGAGAGCACCAAAAUCUAAUAUGAAUAUGUAUGACUUAAUCCAACCACUGCACCGACAUGUGUGUGUGCAUCUAUGCUGAUUUAAAAUGUUUUGCCUGUAUAGCACACAACCUUUGCUUUAUUAUUAUUAUUCCAUUAUACAGGAUGCUUAUAGUAAUAUGUUUAAGUGGCUAUAGUUGAGACAUACCAUAGAUAUAUAAAAUAUUUAAGUAUAUCUUAUUCUAUAACUGAUCACUGUUUUAAAGGUAUAAAUCAUUUAAAUAUAUUGACACAGCACCAUAUAUAACUAAUGCAGUUUGUCAUUCAUGAUGUGGUCUUUAAGUCAACAUAGUGAAUAUAUCCAUAAGCCUCUCAUAUGACUAUAUUACCUCUUUCUGUCAGGCUUUUGGUCUGUUAUAAACCCUACACUGUUGAAAAUGUAUGUAGAAAUGACAGUAUUACUGGCAGCUGUUUGCCAGUAACUUACUGUAGAUUUAAAUAUAUGUUAUUUACGGGUAACGGUUUGUUCAAAGUAAAUGAACAUUAAACAUUAACAAGUCUUUAUAUUUACAGAAUAAAACUAAAAUUACAGCCUCAUGCAAAGCAUUAUGUAAACCAAAAUCUGAACGUUUAAUUUUCAUUUAACUUUGAACAAACUGUUGCCAGUAAAUAACAUCAAUUUAAAUCUACAGUAAGUUACUGGCAAACAGUUGCGUAACUACAGCCCAAAAAGCAUAUCAUUAAUUAUUACUUCAGUAAUAUUUCCUGUAUGAAUACACAAUGGUGAUGCAUAAAAUUUAUUUAAUACAUUUUAUUUUUAAAUUGAUUUAAAAAUAACAGAGGGGCAGAGGGGCACAUGUACCAUUUCCUUAAUAAUGAUAAAAACUUUAUUAGUUAACUGCAUUUGAAAUAGGAGAACAUCUCAAAGUAAUGGCAUCACAUUUGAAAUUAUAUUACAGAGUAAUGUUAGCCUUUAUAUGAUAAGAAGUAUUUAUUAAUUCCAGCUGGCCAAGUUGGACAUGCAUUCAAGUUAUGUGACUAAAUGCUUUUAACUAAAUAUAAAUAGUAACAAUUUACAGUAAGCUUGGAUUUGUUAAAGGGGACAUAUCAUAAAAAUCUGACUUUUCCCAUAUUUAAGUGCUAUAAUUGGGUC